RNAcentral lists this ribosomal RNA (506 nucleotides) under uncultured bacterium. RNAcentral's name for it is "bacterial SSU rRNA". It matches the Rfam family "Bacterial small subunit ribosomal RNA", at positions 28 to 516 of the family's 1533-position model. The record is from RNAcentral.
GAUGAACGCUAGCUACAGGCUUAACACAUGCAAGUCGAGGGGAAACGACAUUGGAAGCUUGCUUCCUUUGGGCGUCGACCGGCGCACGGGUGAGUAACGCGUAUCCAACCUUCCCGCAAGUAAGGGAUAACCCGUAGAAAUGCGGCCUAAUACCUUAUGUUUUCCUUAGAGGGCAUCUGAUGAGGAACAAAGAUCCGUCGCUUGCGGAUGGGGAUGCGUCUGAUUAGGUAGUAGGCGGGGCAACGGCCCACCUAGCCGACGAUCAGUAGGGGUUCUGAGAGGAAGGUCCCCCACAUUGGAACUGAGACACGGUCCAAACUCCUACGGGAGGCAGCAGUGAGGAAUAUUGGUCAAUGGGGCGCGAGCCCUGAACCCAGCCCAAAGUAGCGUGCGGGAAGAAGGCCCUAUGGGUUGUAAACCGCUUUUACCGGGGGAUAAAGUGAGCCUCGUGAGGCUUUUUGCAUGUACCUUAUGAAUAAGGACCGGCUAAUUCCGUGCCAGCAGCC